Long non-coding RNA from Etheostoma cragini (Arkansas darter), 189 nucleotides. RefSeq lists it as uncharacterized. Lineage: Eukaryota; Metazoa; Chordata; Actinopteri; Perciformes; Percidae. The record is from RefSeq and is a predicted model, not a curated record. The transcript is spliced from 4 exons.
GUGUUAUAAAAGGUAAUAGAUGUGUAAUAGAUGUGUUAUAAAGUGUAAUAGAUGUGUUAUAAAGUGUAAUAGAUGUGUUAUAAAAGUGUAAUAGAUGUGUUAUAAAGUGUAAUAGAUGUGUUAUAAAAGUGUAAUAGAUGUGUUAUAAAGUGUAAUAGAUGUGUUAUAAAAGUGUAAUAGAUGUGUUAU